RNAcentral lists this ribosomal RNA (362 nucleotides) under Cochlostyla pithogaster. RNAcentral's name for it is "partial 16S ribosomal RNA". It matches the Rfam family "Bacterial large subunit ribosomal RNA", at positions 1849 to 2558 of the family's 2925-position model. Lineage: Eukaryota; Metazoa; Mollusca; Gastropoda; Stylommatophora; Camaenidae. The record is from RNAcentral.
ACGGUGACUCCUGCUCAAUGAGAUUUAAAUAGCCGCAGUACCCUGACUGUGCAAAGGUAGCAUAAUCAAUUGACUUAUAAAUGAAGUCUAGAAUGAAGGGAUAAAUGGGGGAUUACUGUCUCAUAAAUAUUAAUUGAAUUUACUAAGGAAGUGCAAAUACUUCUAUAUUAAUAAUAGACGAGAAGACCCUAGAAAUUUUAAGAAUUUUUUCCUGUACUUUUUGUUGGGGCAACAGUGUUUCAUGUAAUAAACAUUUGAAUACAUGAAAUAUAUAAUUAAAAAGUUUAAAUUACUCUAGGGAUAACAGCAUAAUCUAUUAAUGUUUGUGACCUCGAUGUUGGACUAGGAAACUAAAGCUUAAA